GAUGAACGCUAGCUACAGGCUUAACACAUGCCAGUCGAGGGGAAACGGCAUUAAGUGCUUGCACUUUUUGGACGUCGACCGGCGCACGGGUGAGUAACGCGUAUCCAACCUUCCCAUGACUAAGGGAUAACAUGCCGAAAGGCAGACUAAUACCUUAUCGUCUUCACUGACGGCAUCAGAUGUGAAGUAAAGAUUUAUCGGUUAUGGAUGGGGAUGCGUCUGAUUAGCUUGUUGGCGGGGUAACGGCCCACCAAGGCAACGAUCAGUAAGGGUUCUGAGAGGAAGGUCCCCCACAAUGGAACUGAGACACGGUCCAAACGCCUACGGGAGGCAGCAGUGAGGAAUAGUGGUCGAGGGGCGAGAGCCUGAACCAGCCAAGUAGCGUGCAGGAUGACGGCCCUAUGGGUUGUAAACUGCUUUUGUAUGGGGAGAAAGUCAAUCACGUGUGAUUGUUUGCAGGUACCAUACGAAUAAGGACCGGCUAAUUCCGUG
RNAcentral lists this ribosomal RNA (492 nucleotides) under uncultured bacterium. RNAcentral describes it as "partial 16S ribosomal RNA". It matches the Rfam family "Bacterial small subunit ribosomal RNA", at positions 28 to 507 of the family's 1533-position model. The record is from RNAcentral.